RNAcentral lists this long non-coding RNA (619 nucleotides) under Carassius auratus (goldfish). RNAcentral describes it as "lncRNA (ENSCARG00000001329.1)". Lineage: Eukaryota; Metazoa; Chordata; Actinopteri; Cypriniformes; Cyprinidae. The record is from RNAcentral.
AUUGAAGCAGAGUUCACUCGCUUAACAUCUAAGGACCUCAUGAAGUCUUUUCUCUCAGGGUUGGAUCAGUAUGUAACCAGGUUCCUUCAGAUGUUUAGAGCCAAGUUGAGCAGCAUUUUCAGAACUGAAAAGUCUUCUAUGCAAGAUUGACCGUGAUACCCAAAAUGUGUCCAAAUAUCAGCUUUUAAGGCUGUGCACAGGCUCCUACUCUUCUUCUGCCUAUAAUUCCAUGUCAAUGAAAAGGGCCGUUGUUCUUCAAGGCCUUCCACAUUACCUCGGCGAGGAUCCAUCAGAUUUCUUCAAGUCAGCUGAGGAAACUGACAUUGAAGACGGUGUGAUGGUGGGAAUGGAUGUGGGCAUUCUCAUAAUGCCUGAUGGAGAUGAUGCCUUUGACUACUACGUGGUAGUGGAGGAACAAGUUGUCCUGAGUGAUGCCAAAGACCUCCCUCAUGCUGUGGCUCAACUAGUCGUACUGAUUUUUGCGCUUAACAUUGAUUAUCCCAAAAAACUACGCUACACAUUUGAGGUAAUUCAGAAGAUUUUAAUUGACCUUGGAGGUGAUCACUGUUCCUUGACGGUGCAUGGACUGAAAAAUAGACUCUUUCGCAAAACUGUUUAG